GGGGAUGACUUGGCUUCGACGCUGAUUACAAAACCUUAGGUGCAUGUCGAGAAUGUAGUGAUUCUCGUAAAUCCCUCACUACACAGUUAUAGUUGCAAACGACGAUAACUACGCUCUAGCCGCAUAAGUCGGCUUGUGCCGCUCCUUCAGGUGUCUGUAACUAGAGGAUUUUGCGGUAUCAUUCGAGACAGAAUCGCCCGGACGCUUUGCCUCAAGCUGAACGGUUAAAACUAAAGAGGCUCGCCCAUAACACCCUGGCUCUCGGGUCGUGACGGGUUAAUUAAAUAGAGAAGCCUAAACAUGUAGAUCUUGAGGCGGAGGAUUGACGGACGCGGGUUCGACCCCCGCCAUCUCCACCA
Neptuniibacter sp. Phe_28 is the source of this 359-nucleotide non-coding RNA. The record is from Rfam. NCBI's taxonomy places the organism in Bacteria, Pseudomonadati, Pseudomonadota, Gammaproteobacteria, Oceanospirillales, Oceanospirillaceae.